AUGUUGGUUCGCGCUUUAUGGCAUUUCAACGAGCAAACUAAUCCAAUCCCACAAAGGAUUGUUCAUGGAACUACUAUCGAAAUUAUUCGGACCAUAUUUCCAAGUGUCAUUCUUUUGUUCAUUGCUAUACCAUCGUUUGCUCUGUUAUACUCAAUGGACGGGGUAUUAGUAGAUCCAGCCAUUACUAUCAAAGCUAUUGGACAUCAAUGGUAA
This 213-nucleotide ribosomal RNA is filed under the name Triticum aestivum (bread wheat). Its description in RNAcentral is "partial small subunit ribosomal RNA". Lineage: Eukaryota; Viridiplantae; Streptophyta; Magnoliopsida; Poales; Poaceae. The record is from RNAcentral.